RNAcentral lists this long non-coding RNA (314 nucleotides) under Penaeus chinensis. RNAcentral's name for it is "uncharacterized LOC125044991, transcript variant X1". The record is from RNAcentral. Lineage: Eukaryota; Metazoa; Arthropoda; Malacostraca; Decapoda; Penaeidae.
UUGUUUGUUGUUUACAUGUUCAGCCGACGUUCAAGACGAAUGCGCACAGGCGUUACGGUUCUUCAUUAAGGAUUUAUCUCUGGAAGACUGAAAGCAAGGCAUUAAGGUUGACCUGCAGUGAUUAAAGCAAAAUGCGCACGGGACUUAGGGGUUCUUUUAGAAGUGGAAGAACCACUCAUAGUUUCAUGGUCACAGCCAAACCAGGACUUGACAUGACCCUGGAAUUAAUACAGCUCAUUGCAGAGGAAACCAACUAGUUUAAGGAGAUAGAAGGGGGCCAUUGGAAGACAUAAUUGAAAGUAAGUACCUUGUUU